This 762-nucleotide long non-coding RNA is filed under the name Monodelphis domestica (gray short-tailed opossum). Its description in RNAcentral is "lncRNA (ENSMODG00000045108.1)". Lineage: Eukaryota; Metazoa; Chordata; Mammalia; Didelphimorphia; Didelphidae. The record is from RNAcentral.
CACUGAACUCCUGUUUCAGUCAUUCAUUUGUUGUGUGACUCUGGGUAAGUCAGUUAAUGUCUCCUAUCCUGAGUUUCCUCAUCAAUAAGUGGAGAUGAUAAUAACACUAAAUCUUAGAUAUUAUUUGUAAUGCACUUGGAAAACCUAAAAGGUCCUUUAGCAUGAUAAUGAAAAUAUUAUACUUACAGAAGUCUUGUUCACUGAAUUUCUUCUUCCUCAUCCCUCAAGGGACAGGCACAGCAGGAGAUUAAUGAAUAAUUAAUAGUUAAUUAAUAAUUACAGGUACUCAUAACGCUGUGGCAAAGGGAUGAAAUACACACUUCAUAGAUAUGCCGGAAUGGAACUAAAGGAACCAUGUAGGUAAAGGACAGUGUAGAAAUAUCAAGGACAUGAUCUUGAUCAAAAUUAUGCAGUAACACAUUGAGGAAUCUUAAGAGCUUCAUGGAUAUGAAUCAAUGCUUUGCCACAGUGUAAACAGUGGGUUAAAUAACAGCUUGGAAAACUUAAGGACCAUGAGUUUGGAUGGAGACCUCGCCAGAAAUGGAGUGACUGAAUGACCUUGGCUUUAUGCCUCCAUUUCCCCAACACAAGGAUUAUUGUGAAGACUAAUGAAAAUGUUGACUUUCACCUUGCCCAAAAGCCAGUGUUUAUUGCAAAGGUAAGAUACCAGAAAUAAAAAUGAUUAAGGUUCUCCCCUCACAUAUAUUACCACCCCACCUCAAAAAAAAUAAAAACAAGCAAAAACUAGAAAUUCUGGAGUGG